This 253-nucleotide ribosomal RNA is filed under the name uncultured bacterium. RNAcentral's name for it is "partial 16S ribosomal RNA". It matches the Rfam family "Archaeal small subunit ribosomal RNA", at positions 474 to 727 of the family's 1478-position model. The record is from RNAcentral.
UACCAGCACCCCGAGUGGUCGGGACGUGUAUUGGGCCUAAAGCAUCCGUAGCCGGUUCUACGAGUCUUCCGUUAAAUCCAACUGCUUAACAGGUGGGCUGCGGAAGAUACUAUAGAGCUAGGAGGCGGGAGAGGCAAGCGGUACUCGAUGGGUAGGGGUAAAAUCCGUUGAUCCAUUGAAGACCACCAGUGGCGAAGGCGGCUUGCCAGAACGCGCUCGACGGUGAGGGAUGAAAGCUGGGGGAGCAAACCGG